This 420-nucleotide ribosomal RNA is filed under the name uncultured bacterium. Its description in RNAcentral is "bacterial SSU rRNA". It matches the Rfam family "Bacterial small subunit ribosomal RNA", at positions 355 to 775 of the family's 1533-position model. The record is from RNAcentral.
UGGGGAAUAUUGCGCAAUGGACGAAAGUCUGACGCAGCGACGCCGCGUGUGGGAUGAAGCUCUUCGGGGUGUAAACCACUGUUGCCCGGGACGAAUUUCUGGUUUUGACCAGAUUGACGGUACCGGGUGAGGAAGCACCGGCUAACUCUGUGCCAGCAGCCGCGGUAAUACAGAGGGUGCGAGCGUUGUCCGGAAUCACUGGGCGUAAAGGGCGCGUAGGUGGCUCGUUAAGCGUGUGGUGAAAGCCUGGGGCUCAACCCCAGGUCUGCCGUGCGAACUGGCGAGCUUGAGAGUAGUAGAGGCGGGUGGAAUUUCGGGUGUAGCGGUGGAAUGCGUAGAUAUCCGAAAGAACACCGGUGGCGAAGGCGGCCCGCUGGGCUAUUUCUGACACUGAUGCGCGACAGCGUGGGGAGCAAACAG